RNAcentral lists this non-coding RNA (942 nucleotides) under Gobiesox strumosus (skilletfish). RNAcentral describes it as "partial small subunit ribosomal RNA". It matches the Rfam family "Bacterial small subunit ribosomal RNA". The record is from RNAcentral. Lineage: Eukaryota; Metazoa; Chordata; Actinopteri; Blenniiformes; Gobiesocidae.
GGCUUGGUCCUGACUUUAUUAUCAACUAUGGCCAUAUUUAUACAUGCAAGUAUCCGCGCCCCCGUGAGAAUGCCCUUUAACACCUGAUCGGAAAAAAGGAGCUGAUAUCAGGCACAUCUUAAUGAUAGCCCAAGACGUCUUGCUUAGCCACACCCCCAAGGGACUUCAGCAGUAAUAAAUAUUAAGCAAUAAGUGCAAACUUGACUUAGUUAAGGCCAAGAGGGUCGGUAAAACUCGUGCCAGCCACCGCGGUUAUACGAGAGACUCAAGUUGAUAACCCAUCGGCGUAAAGGGUGGUUAAAUUAUACAACAUUAAUAAAGUUAAAUGCUCGCAAGACUGUUACACGUUUCCGCGGGUAAGAAGCCCAACCACGAAAGUGACUUUAUAUUAUUGACACCACUAAAGCUGUGAAACAAACUGGGAUUAGAUACCCCACUAUGCUCAGCCGUAAACAACGAUAGCCCCUGCACUUGCUACCCGCCCGGGAACUACGAGCCCCAGCUUGAAACCCAAAGGACUUGGCGGUGCUUAAGAUCCACCUAGAGGAGCCUGUUCUAUAACCGAUAACCCCCGUUCCACCUCACCUUUUCUUGUUUUUACCGUCUAUAUACCGCCGUCGUCAGCCCACCCUGUGAAGGACUCAUAGUAAGCACAAUUGGCACAACCCAAAACGUCAGGUCGAGGUGUAGCGAAUGAAAAGGAAAGAAAUGGGCUACAUUCUCUACUCAAGAGCACACGAAAUAGGAAUUGAAAAAUCUCUUAGAAGGAGGAUUUAGUAGUAAGGAGUGAAUAGAGCGCACCCCUGAAAUUGGCCCUAAAGCGCGCACACACCGCCCGUCACUCUCUCCAAGCUCCAUUAACCCAUCGCUAAUAAAAAUAAUAGGCUAAGGGGAGACAAGUCGUAACAUGGUAAGCGUACCGGAAGGUGCGCUUGGCAGAAC